Molecule: ribosomal RNA, 449 nt
Filed under: uncultured bacterium
Lineage: Bacteria
Description: partial 16S ribosomal RNA
Rfam family: Bacterial small subunit ribosomal RNA
Source: RNAcentral
AACGAACGCUGGCGGCAUGCCUAACACAUGUAAGUCGAACGAGAUCUUCGGGUCUAGGGGCGCACGGGUGCGUAACGCGACGGAAGCUGAACUUUUGUUCGGACUGACCGUUGGAAAAGACUGCCAAUACGGGAUGAUGACGAAAGUCGAAAGGUUUAUCGCCAGUGGAUGAGCCCGCGUAGGAGUAGCGAGUUGGUGUGGUAAAGGCGAGCUAAGGCGAGGACCCUUAGCCGGUCCGAGAGGAUGUUCAGCCACACUGGGACUGGGACACGGCCCAGACUCCUACGGGAGGCAGCAGUGGAGAAUAUUGGACAAUGGGCGAAAGGCUGAUCCAGCAAUGCCGCGUGAGUGAUGAAGGCCUUAGGGUUGUAAAGCUCUUUUACCCGGGAUGAUAAUGACAGUACCGGGAGAAUAAGCUCCGGCUAACUCCGUGCCAGCAGCCGCGGUAA